Molecule: ribosomal RNA, 486 nt
Filed under: Salmonella enterica subsp. enterica serovar Virchow
Lineage: Bacteria; Pseudomonadati; Pseudomonadota; Gammaproteobacteria; Enterobacterales; Enterobacteriaceae
Also listed under: 1 other name
Description: partial 23S ribosomal RNA
Rfam family: Bacterial large subunit ribosomal RNA
Source: RNAcentral
AAUCCAUAGGUUAAUGAGGCGAACCGGGGGAACUGAAACAUCUAAGUACCCCGAGGAAAAGAAAUCAACCGAGAUUCCCCCAGUAGCGGCGAGCGAACGGGGAGGAGCCCAGAGCCUGAAUCAGCAUGUGUGUUAGUGGAAGCGUCUGGAAAGGCGCGCGAUACAGGGUGACAGCCCCGUACACAAAAGCGCAUGUGCUGUGAGCUCGAUGAGUAGGGCGGGACACGUGGUAUCCUGUCUGAAUAUGGGGGGACCAUCCUCCAAGGCUAAAUACUCCUGACUGACCGAUAGUGAACCAGUACCGUGAGGGAAAGGCGAAAAGAACCCCGGCGAGGGGAGUGAAAAAGAACCUGAAACCGUGUACGUACAAGCAGUGGGAGCACCCUUCGGGGUGUGACUGCGUACCUUUUGUAUAAUGGGUCAGCGACUUAUAUUCUGUAGCAAGGUUAACCGUAUAGGGGAGCCGUAGGGAAACCGAGUCUUAAC